UGGGGAAUCUUCCGCAAUGGACGAAAGUCUGACGGAGCAACGCCGCGUGAGUGAAGACGGCCUUCGGGUUGUAAAGCUCUGUGAUCCGGGACGAAAGAGCCUGAGGUAAAUAGCCUAAGGAAGUGACGGUACCGGAAAAGCAAGCCACGGCUAACUACGUGCCAGCAGCCGCGGUAAUACGUAGGUGGCAAGCGUUGUCCGGAAUUAUUGGGCGUAAAGCGCGCGCAGGCGGCUUCCUAAGUCCAUCUUAAAAGUGCGGGGCUUAACCCCGUGAUGGGAUGGAAACUGGGAAGCUGGAGUAUCGGAGAGGAAAGUGGAAUUCCUAGUGUAGCGGUGAAAUGCGUAGAGAUUAGGAAGAACACCGGUGGCGAAGGCGACUUUCUGGACGAAAACUGACGCUGAGGCGCGAAAGCUUGGGGAGCAAACAGG
This 429-nucleotide ribosomal RNA is filed under the name Fusobacteriota bacterium. Its description in RNAcentral is "Fusobacteria bacterium partial 16S ribosomal RNA". It matches the Rfam family "Bacterial small subunit ribosomal RNA", at positions 355 to 776 of the family's 1533-position model. The record is from RNAcentral. Lineage: Bacteria; Fusobacteriati; Fusobacteriota.